This 485-nucleotide ribosomal RNA is filed under the name uncultured bacterium. RNAcentral's name for it is "partial 16S ribosomal RNA". It matches the Rfam family "Bacterial small subunit ribosomal RNA", at positions 28 to 523 of the family's 1533-position model. The record is from RNAcentral.
GACGAACGCUGGCGGCGUGCUUAACACAUGCAAGUCGAACGGUGAAGGCGGAGCUUGCUCUGCCGGAUCAGUGGCGAACGGGUGAGUAACACGUGGGCGACCUGCCCCUCACUUCGGGAUAACUCCGGGAAACCGGGGCUAAUACCGGAUACGACCUCCUUGGGCAUCUUUGGAGGUGGAAAGUUUUUCGGUGAGGGAUGGGCCCGCGGCCUAUCAGCUUGUUGGUGAGGUAGUGGCGCACCAAGGCGACGACGGGUAGCCGGCCUGAGAGGGCGACCGGCCACACUGGGACUGAGACACGGCCCAGACUCCUACGGGAGGCAGCAGUGGGGAAUAUUGCGCAAUGGGCGAAAGCCUGACGCAGCAACGCCGCGUGCGGGAUGAAGGCCUUCGGGUUGUAAACCGCUUUCAGCAGGGAAGAAGCCGCAAGGUGACGGUACCUGCAGAAGAAGCACCGGCUAACUACGUGCCAGCCGCCGCGGUAA